Molecule: ribosomal RNA, 466 nt
Filed under: uncultured bacterium
Lineage: Bacteria
Description: bacterial SSU rRNA
Rfam family: Bacterial small subunit ribosomal RNA
Source: RNAcentral
GGCCAGACUCCUACGGGAGGCAGCAGUGAGGAAUAUUGGUCAAUGGGCGCAGGCCUGAACCAGCCAAGUCGCGUGAGGGAAGACUGCCCUAUGGGUUGUAAACCUCUUUUAUAAGGGAAGAAUAAUGACUACGUGUAGUCAGAUGCCCGUACCUUAUGAAUAAGCACCGGCUAACUACGUGCCAGCAGCCGCGGUAAUACGUAGGGGGCAAGCGUUAUCCGGAUUUACUGGGUGUAAAGGGAGCGUAGACGGCAGUGCAAGUCUGGAGUGAAAGGCGGGGGCUCAACCCCCGGACUGCUCUGGAAACUGUACGGCUGGAGUGCAGGAGAGGUAAGUGGAAUUCCUAGUGUAGCGGUGAAAUGCGUAGAUAUUAGGAGGAACACCAGUGGCGAAGGCGGCUUACUGGACUGUAACUGACGUUGAGGCUCGAAAGCGUGGGGAGCAAACAGGAUUAGAUACCCUGGUA